GAUGAACGCUGACAGCAUGCUUAACACAUGCAAGUCGAUGGGGAAGUGGUGCUUGCCCCAUGGCAACCAUGGCGGACGGGUGAGUAACGCGUAAGGGACUUACCUGCAGGACUGGGAUAACAGGGGGAAACUCCUGACAAGACCGGAUAAUGUCAUGGAGCUGCAUGGCUUUAUGAUGAAAGGAGACGCCUGCGGAGAGCCUUGCGUCCUAUUAGCUAGUUGGUGAGGUAAUGGCUCACCAAGGCGAAGAUAGGUAGCCGGCCUGAGAGGGUGGACGGCCACAAGGGGACUGAGAUACGGCCCUUACUCCUACGGGAGGCAGCAGUGGGGAAUAUUGGACAAUGGGGGCAACCCUGAUCCAGCAAUUCUGUGUGCACGAAGAAGGUUUUCGGAUUGUAAAGUGCUUUCAGCAGGGAAGAAGUAAGUGGCGGUACCUGCAGAAGAAGCGACGGCUAAAUACGUG
RNAcentral lists this ribosomal RNA (463 nucleotides) under uncultured bacterium. RNAcentral's name for it is "partial 16S ribosomal RNA". It matches the Rfam family "Bacterial small subunit ribosomal RNA", at positions 28 to 507 of the family's 1533-position model. The record is from RNAcentral.